RNAcentral lists this unclassified non-coding RNA (314 nucleotides) under Serratia proteamaculans. RNAcentral describes it as "16S-23S ribosomal RNA intergenic spacer". The stretch from base 22 to 94 matches the Rfam family "tRNA". The record is from RNAcentral. Lineage: Bacteria; Pseudomonadati; Pseudomonadota; Gammaproteobacteria; Enterobacterales; Yersiniaceae.
UCAGUUUAAUCGGAUUUUCGUGUCCCCAUCGUCUAGAGGCCUAGGACACUGCCCUUUCACGGCUGUAACAGGGGUUCGAAUCCCCUUGGGGACGCCAAUCCGAUAAUGAGUGAAAGACAUUAUCACCGGUUAGUCAUAACCGAAAAAAUCUUAAAGAUGACUCUUGCGAGUCGUGUUUAAGAUAUUGCUCUUUAACAAUCUGGAACAAGCUGAAAAUUGAAACAUGACAGCUGAAACUUACUCCUCCGUAGAAGUACUGGAGUAAGGAGUACCCUGUCAUAGAGUCUCUCAAAUGUAGCAGCACGAAAGUGGAA